UCAGAACGAACGCUGGCGGCAGGCCUAACACAUGCAAGUCGAGCGCACCCUUCGGGGCGAGCGGCGGACGGGUUAGUAACGCGUGGGAACGUACCCUUGUCUACGGAAUAGCCAUUGGAAACGAUGAGUAAUACCGUAUACGCCCUUCGGGGGAAAGAUUUAUCGGACAAGGAUCGGCCCGCGUUAGAUUAGAUAGUUGGUGGGGUAAUGGCCUACCAAGUCUACGAUCUAUAGCUGGUUUUAGAGGAUGAUCAGCAACACUGGGACUGAGACACGGCCCAGACUCCUACGGGAGGCAGCAGUGGGGAAUCUUAGACAAUGGGCGCAAGCCUGAUCUAGCCAUGCCGCGUGUGUGAUGAAGGCCUUAGGGUCGUAAAGCACUUUCGCCAGGGAUGAUAAUGACAGUACCUGGUAAAGAAACCCCGGCUAACUCCGUGCCAGCAGCCGCGGUAAUACGGAGGGGGUUAGCGUUGUUCGGAAUUACUGGGCGUAAAGCGUACGUAGGCGGAUCAGAAAGUAUGGGGUGAAAUCCCGAGGCUCAACCUCGGAACUGCCUCAUAAACUCCUGGUCUUGAGUUCGAGAGAGGUGAGUGGAAUUCCAAGUGUAGAGGUGAAAUUCGUAGAUAUUUGGAGGAACACCAGUGGCGAAGGCGGCUCACUGGCUCGAUACUGACGCUGAGGUACGAAAGUGUGGGGAGCAAACAGGAUUAGAUACCCUGGUAGUCCACACCGUAAACGAUGAAUGCCAGUCGUCGGGUAGCAUGCUAUUCGGUGACACACCUAACGGAUUAAGC
Molecule: ribosomal RNA, 794 nt
Filed under: uncultured Sulfitobacter sp.
Lineage: Bacteria; Pseudomonadati; Pseudomonadota; Alphaproteobacteria; Rhodobacterales; Roseobacteraceae
Description: bacterial SSU rRNA
Rfam family: Bacterial small subunit ribosomal RNA
Source: RNAcentral